RNAcentral lists this ribosomal RNA (497 nucleotides) under uncultured bacterium. RNAcentral describes it as "partial 16S ribosomal RNA". It matches the Rfam family "Bacterial small subunit ribosomal RNA", at positions 28 to 507 of the family's 1533-position model. The record is from RNAcentral.
GAUGAACGCUGGCGGCGUGCCUAAUACAUGCAAGUCGAGCGAACGGGCGAGAAGCUUGCUUUUCUGAUGUUAGCGGCGGACGGGUGAGUAACACGUGGAUAACCUACCUAUAAGACUGGGAUAACUUCGGGAAACCGGAGCUAAUACCGGAUAAUAUUUUGAACCGCAUGGUUCAAAAGUGAAAGACGGUCUUGCUGUCACUUAUAGAUGAAUCCGCGCUGCAUUAGCUAGUUGGUAAGGUAACGGCUUACCAAGGCAACGAUGCAUGGCCGACCUGAGAGGGUGAUCGGCCACACUGGAACUGAGACACGGUCCAGACUCCUACGGGAGGCAGCAGUAGGGAAUCUUCCGCAAUGGGCGAAAGCCUGACGGAGCAACGCCGCGUGAGUGAUGAAGGUCUUCGGAUCGUAAAACUCUGUUAUUAGGGAAGAACAUAUGUGUAAGUAACUGUGCACAUCUUGACGGUACCUAAUCAGAAAGCCACGGCUAACUACGUG